This is a non-coding RNA of Xyrichtys novacula (pearly razorfish), 2476 nucleotides long. NCBI's taxonomy places the organism in Eukaryota, Metazoa, Chordata, Actinopteri, Labriformes, Labridae. The record is from the annotation of a GenBank genome assembly.
AAUCAAUUAAAUGUUACAUUUUUCUCUGCAGUUUAUAAUGACAUUUCAGUGUUGCGUAUUUCACCUCAAUAACAUAAGAAAUUAAAAAGUAAAGAGGUCCUUCAUUGUGUUUGUGCAAUUCUCUCCAUUUUAACAAACAUUUUUACAGGCUAAGAGAGCAACUAAAUUUUAUUUUUUUUGUCCCUCUGUCUUUUCCCUCCUCUGAACUCCUCAACGCUAUCUUUGCUGCGGGCCCUGUUCACUGUUGCCGAUUCAGCUGUAAGUUCACAAAUAAAGUAACGCUGACACUUUUUACAACACAUCAUGUAAAAACCUGACACUAUGUCCUUAUUUGACAAACUGCAGCACAUUCUCAUUGUAACACAAACCAUUUAAAAAAACACUUUAUUUAAACUAAAGCAGAACCAAAUAGAAAUAAUUUUGCAGGCUGAUUACAAUUGAAACGACAAUGCAGUGAGAUGUGCUGGUUUUGUACAACUAAACUAAAAAUCUCUUGUCUCUUUUUUUCCAUUUUCCUUCUUGCCAACUCUAUCCUGUCUCCUAGUGCAGACCGUUUUGUGGCGACUCGACGUAAGUUCACACAGGAAUGACAUUUUCAUGAAUAACGCAGGGUGCCUUUAUUCAAUACAUUAUGGACCCCUCAUCAUGUCCAAACUUAACUUUUUUUCCCCUUUGAUAAUGUAAUAUUCACAGUUGGAAAUGAACAGGUUAAAUGUGAUAUGCAAUACACUUAUUUGCAUUUUAUUUCCAAUCAUUGGAAAGCAAUUUGUUACUAUUAAAUUGUGGAGUUGUAAUUUUUUAAUCAUGAAAAUCCAAAGAAUUACUAAUUGAGUGUGAUUACCUCCUUUUGUGCAGCUCUUAUAUUAGAAAAAAAAUCAAAUUUAAUGUUCCUUAAUAUGGAAUAGACAAUCAUUAUCUAUGCCGCCAUUGAUUUAUUUUAUUAUUCAUUUAAUCCUCCGUUUAGAAAUGUGUAUAUCCUUCUAAGGUACUUUGCAUGCUUCUGUUUACAGCUUACGGAGCUGCUUGGCCUCAUUAUAACUUAUUACAUUGUAGGAAUACUUAAAACACGGUAAAGGAAAUAACAUUUUCCAAAACACAUCAUAUUUUAUCAGCAGAGUAAUCCAUUGUUAUUACUGCUUACCAGGACAUGGUUAUAAACAUUAUAGAGGGAACUUAAAAUAAAGAGUCUAAAAUGCGCAGGGAUAAUAGAAACUUUUGUAAAAUACUUUGAGGUCCUAAAUUUAAAAAAGGCUGGUUCUGUGGUUGGAUUCAAGUUGGACUCGUUGGAGGAUGUGGUGGAGAGAUGUACUGUGAGGAAGGUGGAGGCUAUUCUAAAGAAUAUGGCUCACCCACUUCACAACACCUUGGUGGACCGAAAGGCCUAUGGUGGUGGACGGCUCCUCUCUCUGCUGCAGGACAGAAAGACUCAUAAGAUCUUUUGUACCCACAGCCAUCAGACUCUACAAUUUAAAUAGUAGAUGACUUUUUGAGACAUGACAAGUGAGACUACAGACAAUUGAAUUACCCUUAGGGGAUAAAUAAUGUUCUUCAUUUUCAAUUAUCUCUUAUGAACACUGUAUUUUUAGUCAUUAAUUUGAUUGAAGGGUUAUCGAACAAGACAAUGGUCACUUCCAGCUUUUGACUCAACUUGACUUUUGAUAGAUGUAUAGUUGAGGACAGCCACUUGGUGGAUUGAGUAAAAGUACAUUAUAAUCUCAUUAGCUUUGGGUGGAUGUUGGAUCAUUUAAUUUUAUUUCUUUAAUAAAAAAAGAUUAAUGUUUUUUUCCAUUGUGUCUUACAGGUAUCCUGUCCAGUCUCCCCACUCUCCCCUAUCAUUUUGGUCCCUCUGACUUUCCUGUCUCCUCUACCACUCUUUCUGAUUGAAAAGCCACUCUGCCUUUCUAUCCCCCUUCUAUCCCACUCUGGCUACUAAUACAAUCCUUGAACAAAUCUUUGAUACCAUUGAAACAAAUCUUUGAGAACUAUUGAAACAAAUCUUUGAGACCUAUUGAAACAAAUCUUUGAGACCUAUUGAAACAAAUCUUUGAGACCUAUUGAAACAAAUCUUUGAGACCUAUUGAAACAAAUCUUUGAGACCCUUUGCAAUAAAUCUUUGAGACCUUUUGCAACAAAUCAUUUGAGACCCCUUUGCAACAAAUCAUUUGAGACCCCUUUGCAACAAAUCAUUUGAGACCCCUUUGCAAUAAAUCUUUUUGAGACCUAUUUUAACAAGCCACCUUUUUUGAGAAACCUUUGUAAACAAUCAACCCUUUUUUUGAGAAACCGAACUUCUGAAAAGCUGUACAUUUAAUCCAACCACUGUAUUGGAAAAAGCCCUAAUUUUGCAAAAGUCUCAUUGUUGUUCCAGGUUUUCUUUUCCUGUCUGUGGAUCCAGAGUUUCACCAGAAGAAGUGUCAUCAGCACCACCAUAUCUGCGUCCCUGAUUUUGAAAGAAAAAAUAAACACGUUUCAUAUA